RNAcentral lists this transfer RNA (55 nucleotides) under Pyropterus nigroruber. RNAcentral's name for it is "partial tRNA-Ser". The record is from RNAcentral. Lineage: Eukaryota; Metazoa; Arthropoda; Insecta; Coleoptera; Lycidae.
AUUGAAAUAUUAUAAAAAAAACUUCUAACUUUUUAAAAAGCAAUAAUUUGUUUAU